This is an RNA transcript of Carassius gibelio (silver crucian carp), 4431 nucleotides long. It is a transcript of the gene named chondroitin sulfate synthase 3-like, with no coding region annotated. The transcript has 2 exons. The record is from RefSeq and is a predicted model, not a curated record. NCBI's taxonomy places the organism in Eukaryota, Metazoa, Chordata, Actinopteri, Cypriniformes, Cyprinidae.
GAUUUUUAGCCGAGAAGUUCUCCGCAGGAUGGUGCCACACAUCGGCUCCUGUCUGAAAGAGAUGUACACUACUCAUGAAGAUGUGGAGAUAGGACGGUGCGUCAGGCGUUUUGGAGGGACCCAGUGCGUCUGGUCAUAUGAGCCACCAGAUCCAGUCUGUAUCCAGAUCAGAGGGUCACUGCAGUCACCCGGAUCCAGUACGUAUCCAGACCAGAUGGUGGAUUGUCACCUAGAAAGGCCCCCUACAGCCCUGAAAGACAACUGAGACCAGGACAACUAGAGCCCCAGAUACAGAUCCCCUGUAAAGACAUUGUCUCAGACGAACACAGAUCGGGAUAAGACCACAGGAAACAGAUGAUUUUUCUGCACAAUCUGACUUUGCUGCAGCCUGGAAUUGAACUACUGGUUUCGUCUGGUCAGAGGAGAACUGGCCCCCCAACUGGGCCUGGUUUCGCCCAAGGUUUUUUUUCCAUUCUGUCACCGAUGGAGUUUUGGUUCCUUGCCACUGUCGCCUCUGGCUUGCUUAGUUGGGGUCACUUAAUUUACAGCGAUAUCAUUGACUUGAUUGCAAAUAAAUGCACAGACACUAUUUAAACUGAACAGAGAUGACAUCACUGAAUUCAGUGAUGAACUGCCUUUAACUGUCAUUUUGCAUUAUUGACACACUGUUUUCCUAAUGAAUGUUGUUCAGUUGCUUUGACGCAGUGUAUUUUGUAUAAGGUGAGACACUGCAGGCAAAAACACUAUUUUUUCAAGCACCUGUCAAUUUUGAGAUUUUGGGCUUUUUGGUUUUUCAUAAAGUGCUUUUUCAAACUAGUGGAAGGAAAACAUCCAAAAGACACUGUUAAGUGUUUCUUUUAUAGCACUUUAUCUUUAUCUUUAUAGCACUUUGUCAAUAGAUUUCAAUUACAAUACAUAUUUUUAAAGGCCGUUUUCUCAAAAUGAGUUUUUUCUUUAACACUGACCCAUAAAUCUCCACUUCAGUAGCACUUGCACCAAACUUGACAUUUUUAUUCCUGUCUAUAUCCUGAAGGUUUUUACAGAGGGAUUUGUUCAUACAUAUUUUCCUUGAUUAUAUACAACAUUUUAUUCCCCCCAAAAUUGUGAAAAUAUAUUGUUUUCAGGCUGGUCAAAGUAUUUUCUGAAUUAUGGAGUGACAAAAAAAGAUAACCAGAAUUCCCUCUGUAAAAACAUUUGACUCUAAUAUGUCAAAAAAAAUAAUUAAAAAAAUGUUUGAAACUGAUUUCAUCUAGUGUUCAGAUUUUUGUACUAGACCUUUAUGCAAAUUAGCGCAUAUUUCAUUAAAUAAUGCAUCAUUUGCAUAUUUAAACAUAACAUUUUUGAAAACUCGUAAUACAAAAAAUGUUUGCAAUAAUCAAUGUAAUCAAUCAACUGGGUAAGGUGAUAACUAUUAGUUUUUUUUUUUUUUGCCCUAUUCACCUGCAGUGUCUCGCCUUAAAGCGCUAUAUAAAUAAAGGUGACUUGACUUGACAAGUCUCAGUUAGUCUAGCACAGAACUCAUAGAUAUAUAUAUUCUUUUUUUUUUCUUCUUUUUUUUUCUCAAGAACAGAAUAGAAUACACAAUAAAAGGUGUGUGCUAGUAUAAGCUGAUCAAGUGCUGGCGAAAAAGGUUCACAAGAUAAAUUAUAUGUGGUAUAAAACUUUUGGUUUAAAAGAGAAAGAGAAAAUGUCAGAGAAAAUGGGAGGAUGGGGGUCAUAAAAGAGCAAGGGGGGUGAUGGUGUUUGCUCUCAUUGGAGAUGUCUUCUCCAGAUUAGUUUUACUAUUUUGCUGCAUGGCAUCUGUUUUGUGCAAGAGCCUGAAAUUUUGGAUUCAUGAGGAAAACAUUGCAUAAGGAAAUAAUUUCACUCCUUGUAGCAUAUCUGAUCUAGGGUCACAUUUGCUUGUUAUGUGUUCACAUAUUUACAUUUACACAAAAUACAAUGUAUAGUGUAAAGUCAUGCUUUUCAGAGUGGAGUAUGAAUCACAGUUUUGCUCUGGAGACACUAGCUGCUUUAUGCUUAAUGCAAAACAUCCUGGACCUCCUGAACACUGACGACUGCAUGACUGCAGCAUUUAUAAACUGAGUGCUAGAGCCAAGUGCCAACUUUCCAUUUACAUCCUGUAGUAGACAGGAGACAAAUGAUCAGGGUUAAGUUGCAGACAUCAGCAUUUAUCACAUUAGGAAACUGCCGUUAAUAACUAAAUGAGUCAUUAGAGAGCAUGUUUAGUUUUACUUCAUUAUUAAAGUCACAAUUGGAGUGUUUUUUUUUUUGUUUUUUUUUGUAAUUCACUCGGGUUAAAAAAAAGCUUAAAGGUUGUUACGCGGCAUUCCGAUUUUCCAUGGAAGUAGAUGUGUCUGGACAGUUCUAAUGGCUCCAGAUAACUUGCCUCAUUUAAUUGGAAGACUGACAAGAAUUGUGACUGGUCAUGUCUGGAGUUCUGGUGUGAAAACUGUGGAAAAACACCUCAGCCAAGAAAUAUGUCCAGUGUUACAUUUGAUGAGUACAGUGCAGGUCAGAAUAAAAGUGUAAAUGUUUGUCUUGAAUGUCAGAAAGCACAUCAAAGCACAACAUCAAAGCAGCACACUUGCAAUUACAGUGCUGGUGCUGUUCAAGGUGUCAUACAAUUUGAGUCAUUAAGUCUAACACAUGGGUUAAAACUAAUAAUCCAACGGGGAUAAGAAUAAUUUCUAAUAAUUGCACAAGAUGGAAUACAUCUUGAGGGAUUAUGGCUUCAUCCGUUUUUCAGAUCUAUCUAUUUUGUUGUAAUCAGGAGUUUGCUCACUAUUGCAAAGACAACUCUUGGAAGACAAGAGAACAUCUCAGGUUACUUAUGUAACCAUGGCUCCCUGAAUAGGGAACAAGAUGCUGUAUCCUCUAGGGCUUGCUAUGGGGAAUGCCUCGUCAUAACCCGUAUCUGAAGCAUACAUUCAAAAAAACACCAACAACUUGUUGGCCUGUGACAGCCCAUGACAUCACUACCAGUGCGACAAUAGUAUAAAUAGGCACUGGGAGAACACAACAUCCACUUCUGAUGCUUGUGUCUGAAGCAUGGCAGAAAAACCUAGUGGACUAAGUCUAAGUCUUGGUCUGUCACACAUGGGGCUAACACUUGCUCUACAUGAGCUUGGGAGAGGGGGGCUCGAUGAACAGUAUGAUUGUAGAAAUCAUAAGGUAAGCAUACGACAAGCUUAGUCAAAAACACCUCAGGGACGCAGAAGACGAGCCUAGUUCACCUGAUGCUGCCGGUUCCAGGUGCUCUGGGAAAACAGAGAACUCAAUUCUCAUGUGAAAGGAGAACUCAGAAUUAAGAAAAUGAGUAGCAUGCUCAUAGGCAACCCUUUGAUAAGAGGGAACACUGCUAAAUACUACCACAAGAAAAGACCACAGGGUGAGGAAUACAACUCCAUGGAAGCACCUUGCUCACAAUAACCUUCAUUGGUGAGGAGCACAAUGCUUCUAAGUUUGUCAACCGAGACACAUUGUUUGAGAGGAGCCCAAGGUACCGGGGUCUAGAGCUUAGAUCGGGCCCAACAAAUCAAGCCCGACCCUACCCAAGCACAAGCACAUUGAGUUCGAGCCCGGCCUGACGCGUUCACUGUAAUUAUGAGCCUGAGCCCGAUUUAAACCCGACCAUUUUUAAUAUGUGGGCCGUUAUAACCGGGGGUGGCACCAGAUUUUUACCACAGGUGCUGCUGUACUAGAUCAUUUAGGCUACGGGGGAGCUGCUCAGAUAUUAUAUAAAUCCUAUUAAUAAAAGAGAAAAAAUUGUCCACUCAAUAUUAAAUAUUCUAUUAUUUUAAUUAUCAUAAUUAAAGUUUUACUUUUAUUAAAUUGAACAAGCACAACAUUCAGCAUAAUAUGUGUGUGGUGUUUGAGCAACAAGCAAGAUGUGCAUUUGUAAAUUCGGUGACAGCGCGUGUUAUGAGUUUCAAAUGGUUCAAGUGUGACCGCGGCGCGCUGGCGCCUCCAUGUCAUUAUUAUAUUGUCUGUUAUAUUGCUUUUUAUGUAUUAAACCCAGGCAAUUGGUUGAUGAAAAAUGUAUUAAAAUUAAGAUUCAAUUUAUAAUAAACGAAAUUCACUUUAAGGAAAAUCUUUCUUCAAAACGAAAAUUAACAAACUUGAAACUAAAUGUGCUUAUUUAAUGGCUAAAACACACAGGCUACUACAGACUUUCUUUUGUACAAAUUGCAGCACAUUCAUUUAAUUCUGAAUUGUGCACAUGUAAGUUGAAAGGCAUUUGUUUGUGCAUAGUUAAACAUAUCUGUAACUUUUAUCAAGUUUAGAAUUGUGUGCAUUUAUUAAUUAUUAUCUUAAUGAAUAAUACGACAAGAAAGAAGCAUGUUAACUGCGUUGUUUUUUUAUUCAGAAAUAAUUGAAUGGAUCCUAAAUGGAUCUGAAAUUCAGAAUGAAGAAACGUAAAACAAUAAA